GACAGAGGGUGCAAACGUUGUUCGGAAUUACUGGGCGUAAAGCGCGUGUAGGCGGCUUCGCAAGUCGGGUGUGAAAUCCCACGGCUCAACCGUGGAAGUGCAUUCGAAACUGCGAGGCUAGAGUCCUGGAGAGGAAGGUGGAAUGCUUGGUGUAGAGGUGAAAUUCGUAGAUAUCAAGCGGAACACCGGUGGCGAAGGCGGCCUUACUGGACAGUGACUGACGCUGAGACGGCGAAAGCGUGGGGAGCCAAACAGGGAUUAAGAAACCCAUGGUAACGU
This 279-nucleotide ribosomal RNA is filed under the name uncultured bacterium. RNAcentral's name for it is "partial 16S ribosomal RNA". It matches the Rfam family "Bacterial small subunit ribosomal RNA", at positions 524 to 794 of the family's 1533-position model. The record is from RNAcentral.